RNAcentral lists this transfer RNA (72 nucleotides) under Camelus bactrianus (Bactrian camel). It matches the Rfam family "tRNA". From Rfam's summary of the family: Transfer RNA (tRNA) molecules are approximately 80 nucleotides in length. Their secondary structure includes four short double-helical elements and three loops (D, anti-codon, and T loops). Further hydrogen bonds mediate the characteristic L-shaped molecular structure. tRNAs have two regions of fundamental functional importance: the anti-codon, which is responsible for specific mRNA codon recognition, and the 3' end, to which the tRNAs corresponding amino acid is attached (by aminoacyl-tRNA synthetases). tRNAs cope with the degeneracy of the genetic code in two manners: having more than one tRNA (with a specific anti-codon) for a particular amino acid; and 'wobble' base-pairing, i.e. permitting non-standard base-pairing at the 3rd anti-codon position. RNAcentral also lists the same sequence under 2 other names. Lineage: Eukaryota; Metazoa; Chordata; Mammalia; Artiodactyla; Camelidae. The record is from Rfam by way of RNAcentral.
GAGGGUAUAGCUAAGCGUUAGAGCACAUACUUAGCAUGCACAAGGUCCUGGGUUCAAUCCCCAGUAUCUCCA